RNAcentral lists this ribosomal RNA (253 nucleotides) under uncultured prokaryote. RNAcentral's name for it is "partial 16S ribosomal RNA". It matches the Rfam family "Bacterial small subunit ribosomal RNA", at positions 524 to 776 of the family's 1533-position model. The record is from RNAcentral.
UACAGAGGGUGCGAGCGUUAAUCGGAAUUACUGGGCGUAAAGGGUGCGUAGGUGGUUUUGUAAGUUAGAUGUGAAAUUCCUGGGCUUAACCUGGGGACUGCGUCUGAUACUGCGAAGCUAGAGUACUGUAGAGGAAAGUGGAAUUUCCGGUGUAGCAGUGAAAUGCGUAGAUAUCGGAAGGAACAUCAGUGGCGAAGGCGACUUUCUGGACAGAUACUGACACUGAGGCACGAAAGCGUGGGGAGCAAACAGG